AUAAAACGGCCAACUGCUAGAACAAAGGUUAUGUAAAGACCCCAGAUGCUGAACUUGCUGAGAGUGUCCCCCAGAAUGCCCUCUGCAAGAAAGAGAUUACAAUGGCUACUGGUCCAGUGAAAUGUCCACAUUUGCUGACAUUUAUUGGCUGGAUGUCGUGGAAGGACCACCAAUCGUAAUUUUCACGGUUCAAGAUGAGAUCAGCGCUGACAAAAUUGUCCUGUAAAUGAUCAUCGGGUCAGUUGUUUGAAUAAAAAUUCAUACAAACAUAGAAAUGAUAUCAGUUGCUACCGCCUCAGUAGAUGAAGAACAAUGACCCCAGAUCCUGAAAAUCUCAAUCAGGUUGCGUUUCCGUUUGCUUUCCUCCGAAUCACGGAUAUGCUGUAACUGUUCAGUUUUCCAAGCUGCUUUCUUUUCCUGCUCGUGGAC
This is a long non-coding RNA of Cucurbita moschata (crookneck pumpkin), 429 nucleotides long. RefSeq lists it as uncharacterized. NCBI's taxonomy places the organism in Eukaryota, Viridiplantae, Streptophyta, Magnoliopsida, Cucurbitales, Cucurbitaceae. The transcript is spliced from 3 exons. The record is from RefSeq and is a predicted model, not a curated record.